RNA transcript from Boleophthalmus pectinirostris (great blue-spotted mudskipper), 4258 nucleotides. It is a transcript of the gene named glutaryl-CoA dehydrogenase a, with no coding region annotated. The transcript has 14 exons. The record is from RefSeq and is a predicted model, not a curated record. Lineage: Eukaryota; Metazoa; Chordata; Actinopteri; Gobiiformes; Gobiidae.
GCAGUGGCACCAAACGGCAUAUUACAGUUUUGGUCAACAAGUGAAAAAAAAACAACAACAAAAAACAUGGUGUAUAAACAGUGGCCUAUAGCUCACGGCAUUACAAGACAAACUGGUCUUUUUUGUAGCAAUCAGCCUAUUUUUCUUCAGUCAAUCAAUGUUGAUUGAAUGAUGAUAGAUUAAUUGUGAUAGUCAUUGGUCUAGCUCUAACCUACAUGCAAUCGGGAGCACACGCGCAAACAUCAAUUCAUUGACAUCGUGUCGCUUCAAUUUCUUGAACGCCAUUUAUUAGAACAACAUAUAUACAAGGAAAAAGAAAUUGUGGUGUUGGCUGAAUAGCGCAAUACAAAGACAUAAAUCGGCUUUCAGAGGAUGGUCAGCUAGAUCUGCAUGCAGACCUCAUGAAGUCCACACCCAUCCAUCCAGCGCAGUCAUUGUUUCCAUUUCUUCGCCCGAUCCCAGAAGAAAAUAAAGAGCAAGGGAUAGGAAUAAAAAUGAUCUCCACUCACCAUAUUUUGGGUCCGGGUUUUUCUCCUCCAUCUCCAUUCUUACACACGGCACUCUUUAGAUUAUCAAAGCAGACAGGACAGUUACCAUGGAAAUGUCGAGGGGAAAAAAACACCAAUAACAGAGACAGGCGCUACCGCUACAAAGCGGAGUGAGAGGGACCAUCCCAGCGAAAGCCCUCUGCAGUCAGGAACAGCCCUCGGAAUAAGACAACCAAUUAGCAUGCGCUAUUUAUUUGAGUGACAGCUCUGUUAUCCAAUCAGAAUGAUUUCUAUGUGACUGAAAAAUUCACACCGCUACUUCAGAGGAAUUUGCUUACUUUUUAUUCAAACGUAAUAAUUAGUAGACGACUGGCUUUGAUUAAGUUUUAUUUUUUGCGUAAUGUGCGGUAGAUUAUUAAGGACCCACCUUUGUGCAGGCUCAUCUGCAUUCUGCACAGAUUAGGCAAAACUAUUUUUUUGUGGAAAAAUACUACCACUUAUAACUUUUAACUAUCAGCAGUGAUAUGACCAGUUAUCAGCUGUAAACAAAGUGCUGUGUGUUGUGGUCUGACCCCUCCGAAUUACCUCCUCCCAGCCUCGAAAUUAGACCAUGGAAGUAAGACCCUGGCUGAGUGACACUGUAGUGAGAGGGAGAAAUACUUCUGUACGUGGUUUCUUAUUUUAAAAGCCAAUCAGCUGCAGGCUGGGAGCCCACACCCUCCAACAUGACUCGGUCACAUGGAGCUGUGCAAAAAUCUUAUAUUGUAUGUAUGUGUACUACUAUAUGCUACAUGGGUGGUAGGGUACAACUAAAUAAUACGAAACUAUUUUACCAUUUAGCUUGAACUUGAUCAAGGACAGUUGUAUAACUUACAAGUAUUGCUCAACUCGAAAAGUACAGCUCGUGUUGCUUCUGCCGCUGUCCUCCAGCAGAACCAGCCUCAGUAAUGUUACGUAUCCGUGUGACGUUACACGGGGCUGGAGUUACUUAAGCAAUGUUCACAAGGUUUUUCCAAUCGUUUGGACCAAUCUUUAAAACGUCCACUUCGGGAUCAAGACCACCAGCUAAAUGGCCCUUAGAAAUGCUGCCUUUCGCCUCGUGGCCAAUUCUCAAAAAUGUGCAACAGUUUUAACAUCCAGAGCACAAGGCACAGCUUCAGCGCAACAUAAAGAUGCUGAAGAAAUCCCAAAGCCAUCCUCAAAACCAGCCAAGGUGACUUUUGACUGGCGGGAUGCUUUGAAUUUGGAGGGCCAGCUGACAGAGGAGGAAGUUAUGAUCAGAGAUUCUUUCAGGGACUAUUGUCAAGAAAAACUCAUGCCUCGUAUCCUGAUGGCUAACAGACAUGAACAUUUUCACCGUGAAAUUGUUUCUGAAAUGGGAGAGCUGGGAGUUUUGGGACCAACUAUUAAAGGGUAUGGCUGUGCAGGUACCAGUUAUGUAGCCUAUGGUUUAAUUGCCCGAGAGGUGGAGAGAGUAGACAGUGGAUAUCGGUCAGUUAUGAGUGUUCAGUCUUCACUGGUCAUGCAUCCAAUCAAUGCAUAUGGUACAGAGGCUCAAAAGGAAAAGUACCUGCCCAGGCUGGCCCGGGGAGAAAUCUUGGGCUGUUUUGGUUUAACUGAACCGAACCAUGGCAGUGAUCCCAGCAGUAUGGAGACCAAAGCUAAAUACAACCCCUCAAGCGGCACUUUCAGCAUCAGUGGAGCAAAAACAUGGAUCACAAAUUCCCCAGUAGCAGACAUUGCUGUUGUCUGGGCUAAAUGUGAAGACAGCAAGGUGAGGGGUUUCAUUUUGGAGCGUGGGAUGAAAGGGCUCAGCACUCCGAAAAUUGAAGGAAAAUUUUCUCUGAGAGCCUCUGCGACUGGCAUGAUCCUGAUGGAUGAGGUGGAGGUCCCUCAGGAGAACCUGUUGCCCAAUGUGUCUGGACUGGCAGGUCCUUUUGGCUGCCUCAACAAUGCUCGCUAUGGCAUUGCGUGGGGAGCUCUGGGAGCGGCAGAGUUUUGUUUCCACGCUGCAAGACAGUAUACCCUGGACAGAAUCCAGUUUGGUGUGCCUUUAGCCAGGAAUCAGCUCAUGCAGAAGAAGAUGGCUGACAUGUUGACUGAAAUCACAAUUGGAUUACAAUCAUGCCUGACUCUGGGACGACUGAUUGAUGACAAAAAAGCAGCCCCUGAAAUGAUCUCUAUGCUGAAGAGGAAUAGUUGUGGCAAAGCUCUGGACAUUGCACGGCAGGCCCGGGACAUGUUGGGAGGAAAUGGGAUUGCGGACGAGUACCACAUCAUCCGUCAUGUUAUGAACUUGGAGGCUGUAAACACGUAUGAAGGAACCCAUGACAUACAUGCACUGAUUUUGGGCAGAGCUAUCACUGGACUUCAGUCAUUUACUGUUGGAAAGUAAACUUUGAUAUUUUUUUAAGGGCCUGAUUUAGGUAGAAACACCUGACAACCUUAUCCAAACAACAAUGGAUUAAAAAGUUUCAUCCUGGAGACUGUGGGACUAUGGACAGCUUCAACUACACAGAUCAAGGUGGACGGUCAUUUCAGUAUUUAGUCCAGAACAUGGAGCCCCUCUAUAAGGAAUACAAGCCUCCUCCCAGAGACCUGAUCCAGCUGCCCAAGUCUGUGCUGUACCUCCUGAUGGCUGCUCUGGUGGUGGUCGCUGUGGCUUAUGCCAUCGUGGGUCAUCUCAUCAAAGACCUCAUGCUGGAUAUAACAGAUUGUUUGUUAGGACCGUUAGAGGAAGACUUGAAGAAGGAUGGAGAGGCAGAGGGACUGAGUCCUCUGCACAUCCCAGCCUCAGUGAGCCACUCGCACCAAAACGCCUUCCAUGUGUGGGACCAGGACGAUGUCAUCAUCCCCAUGACACCACAUGAUGAGAGCCCCGCUCACAGCCCUAUGAUGGCCGUGAUCCCUUACAUUCCUUCCUUCUUCCCCCAUGCACUUCACCACAUCGGCAGCCCAAUGCACAUCAGAGAGUACCUGAGCCCCAAGGAGAGUGAAGCAUGAAAGGAUUAUGGAAAACUAAGGAGACAUUGCAUCCAAAGAACAUGCAACAAGUAGUAAAAAGCAAGGGGUGCACAAGUUUUAAAGACUUGCAUUGAUUUAUCAUCUUAGGGCAAAUGUCCCAAGACACCGCAUCUGGUUCUGGUUGAUUAACGGUCAAACUCCAACUGAUAUCCCGCUGAUGAAAGGAGAGUCCAUGAUGUUACGUUUUGCCAGCCUACUUUUAAAGUCGGGCUUAAAACUACUUUUCUAUUCCCAAAAGAAGUCAAGCCUAAAAUGAAAAGUUUUAUAUGUGGUUUAUAUGUGUUUUUGUACCUGCAAAGGAGGCAAAGGAUAGUUAAAAAAUGAUUGAGACAGGAGAUGAUACAGUAUGUAUAGGAUCAAAUAAUGCUCAGAUUUGAAAUACAUGCAAAUAAUUGCAGAAUAAUUAUUUUAUUUUCACUACCUGCUUUGACAUGUGAGAGAUGACCCUUGUGGGGACAGCCUCUCUUUUUAAAGCUUCCUGUGGGGUUGUGCCAAGUUAAUGUAGCAUCAAGAUCACCCUCCACAUCUCAGCCAACUUGUGUCCCUGGGCAAGCCUAAGAAGAUUUAACAGUGAUACAAUUGUUUCACUACUUCAUCUCUGAAUGAAAAUAAUUUGUGAUUGUAUUUGAAGGAGCAUGGAGGUGAAGUGAAUAGACUCAAGCUGAACCAGGACUAUUUCUUGUACAUUUAUUUUUUCCAUUGAAAUUUGUCUAAAUAUGUUCCCACUUAACCCUGAACUGAGCUUC